This 497-nucleotide ribosomal RNA is filed under the name uncultured bacterium. RNAcentral describes it as "partial 16S ribosomal RNA". It matches the Rfam family "Bacterial small subunit ribosomal RNA", at positions 28 to 507 of the family's 1533-position model. The record is from RNAcentral.
GAUGAACGCUGGCGGCGUGCCUAAUACAUGCAAGUCGAGCGAACAGACGAGGAGCUUGCUCCUUUGACGUUAGCGGCGGACGGGUGAGUAACACGUAGGUAACCUACCUAUAAGACUGGGAUAACUUCGGGAAACCGGAGCUAAUACCGGAUAAUAUUUCGAACCGCAUGGUUCGAUAGUGAAAGAUGGUUUUGCUAUCACUUAUAGAUGGACCCGCGCCGCAUUAGCUAGUUGGUAAGGUAACGGCUUACCAAGGCAACGAUACGUAGCCGACCUGAGAGGGUGAUCGGCCACACUGGAACUGAGACACGGUCCAGACUCCUACGGGAGGCAGCAGUAGGGAAUCUUCCGCAAUGGGCGAAAGCCUGACGGAGCAACGCCGCGUGAGUGAUGAAGGUCUUCGGAUCGUAAAACUCUGUUAUUAGGGAAGAACAAACGUGUAAGUAACUGUGCACGUCUUGACGGUACCUAAUCAGAAAGCCACGGCUAACUACGUG